Molecule: ribosomal RNA, 393 nt
Filed under: uncultured bacterium
Lineage: Bacteria
Description: partial 16S ribosomal RNA
Rfam family: Bacterial small subunit ribosomal RNA
Source: RNAcentral
AUACGGAGGAUCCGAGCGUUAUCCGGAUUUAUUGGGUUUAAAGGGAGCGUAGGUGGAUUGUUAAGUCAGUUGUGAAAGUUUGCGGCUCAACCGUAAAAUUGCAGUUGAAACUGGCAGUCUUGAGUACAGUAGAGGUGGGCGGAAUUCGUGGUGUAGCGGUGAAAUGCUUAGAUAUCACGAAGAACUCCGAUUGCGAAGGCAGCUCACUAGACUGUUACUGACACUGAUGCUCGAAAGUGUGGGUAUCAAACAGAAUUAGAUACCCUGGUAGUCCACACAGUAAACGAUGAAUACUCGCUGUUUGCGAUAUACAGUAAGCGGCCAAGCGAAAGCAUUAAGUAUUCCACCUGGGGAGUACGCCGGCAACGGUGAAACUCAAAUGAAUUGGCGGGG